This is a long non-coding RNA of Vicia villosa (hairy vetch), 15938 nucleotides long. RefSeq lists it as uncharacterized. NCBI's taxonomy places the organism in Eukaryota, Viridiplantae, Streptophyta, Magnoliopsida, Fabales, Fabaceae. The record is from RefSeq and is a predicted model, not a curated record. The transcript has 8 exons.
AAAACCAAUCAAUCUCCAGGUACAAAAUUGAGAUUGAGGUGGAACACGAUUCCCAGACUGUUAAGUUUGUCUUUUGGGACAAGGAAUGCAUCCCUUAUGUUGGAAUGUCGGCUCAUGCCCUUCGACAAUUAAUGAAAAAGACAAAUGAGGAUCAUCCACAUGUCUCCGACGGAUUUUAGUGUCAAAGAGUUUCCCAUAUGUCUCCGACAGAUUCUCCGUCCACUUCACCCUUGUUGUCGGCCUCUCUGGCGCCGAAAUCACCUCUUCCAUAGUCCUCAUAGCUGGCAUAGCUGAAGUUGCAGCAGGCGCCAUUUCCAUGACUCUGGUUUUGUCGGUUUCGCGAGGCUUUUCUGUUCAGUGUUUGGGUUGACGUCUUUUGUUAAUUUCUGUGCAGGUUAUAAAGUCAACUCAAGUGUGAAAUGCUGUGUUGCUACAGUCUUGGGUACGCAGUCGUAUCAUUCACCGUUUCUUAGUCAGCAUCAACAACACCCCAUAGUUGGACAACUUCAUCACGACAUGAUUUCGGUAACAUUAUAAGAGUUUUUUUGUGAUAAGGUUUAAAUUAACUGUAACCAUUGUUUGAAUUGAGUCUCUAUUUGGUAACCAUGUUUUGUUGCCUGUUCCAUCAAGUAAGUAAGCUAUAAGGUCUUUUGCUGUGAAAUUUGCCAAAGCUUUUGGUGCUAAUGUUACUGUCAUUAGUACAUCAGUUUGUGAUUGGCAUUGGUAACACUUUGAAACCAAGUUCUUAAAUUUUGCAGUUUCAAUUGUCAAUUGAUUUUUGUUCUUGUAUGCAUUAAGUGUAUUAUUACAUAGGAACUGAUUGUUCUUGUAUGCAUUAAGUGUCAAUAUUACAUAUUUCCAACUCCAUGAUAUAGGUUAUGCUGCUCUAUUAAAUUUUUGGUCCUUCAGGUGCGGUUGAAUCCGAACGCUUCUUCACCAAGCUCAUCGAGCAACAGGCAAAUUUCAUGGUGUGACUAUGGGGACUGGAAGCAACCGAAAUAAGGUUACUGGUCCUGCCCAAAAUUCAACAUCUCCUGCAACAAGUCAGGGGACUGUUUUUUAUGUCAACAACUUUAUCCAGCAGUGAGAUUUCUCAGCAUUUGCUACGGUGUACAAUGUUCAAUAAUUCCAACAGUUUCAGAGCUUUUGGUUUGAAGCAUUUUGGAUUAUUUUUCAAUUCAUGUCAUUAGGUAAUCCAAUUGGUGCAUUACUUUUCUCAGCACUUCGAACUGAACGUAUAUAUGACAGUGAGCAUGCAAAGCAACAAGCUUUUGGUCUCAUUGCUUCAAGUGUUUCAUGUGCUGGUCUAGAUUGUUUUAAGAUUACCUUUCUCGUACUUGCUGUUGUGUGUGUUGCUGGUACAAUAUCCAGCCUUGACCUCAAAAAUUCAAAUUUGGUGGGAUAUUUUGUGAAGAUGAAUAGUCUCUCUUUAAGAAAAGUCAAUGAUUUUUAGACAAGUUUAGAUAUGUUAGCCAAAUUAUGAUACAAACAUGUAUAUUCAAAUUUGCAGAAAGGAUGGUUAAUGUUGAUGGCCUGAAUAUUAUAACUUAUGCAUGGCAGCUGGUUUGCACAUCCAUAUUUAAUAGAGAUGUGAACUUAAGGUUAUCUAUGUUUAAGUGAUCUAUGGUUAUGUUAAACUAGUUAGUUUCACUAUUUCACUAGACAAAUGGUAAUUUUCAAGACUCAACUGCUUUUGCUGUUAUAGUGACAGUCUUUGUAUUAUCUCUAGCGUGGAUGACACGUAUUUUGCUGUUAAACUUGUAUGACAAUAUAUUAUUAGCCUGUUAAUUAUCAUGUUUCUUUCUUAUUCUCUUCGAAUGAAGAAGUGAGGCUCCAAAAACAACCCACCAUAUCAAAAAGAAGUAACAUCUUACUUUCUAUGAGUAAGAGUAUUUUGUCAAGAUUUUAGUGUGUUGAAUAAAACCGUCUUUAACUAUAUCGAUCAAAUUAAGUCGUGUAUGGGGAUGCAUAAGUCAUCUUUUAGACUUCAUGCCAAGGCAUUGUUAUACUAUUAAGACAAAAAUUUGGUAGUGAAUCUCUGAAUUUGUCAAAAUUGUUUAAUUAGUGAAUCUAUUGGUCUAUCGGUGCAUGAAGCUUAUGCUUAUGCGUCACCCCGUGUCUAGGUCACUGCCAAAUCCAUUCUAUUUGACUUUGUCUACUGAUAAUGGAAGAUAAUAUGAAUUGUGAAUCUCUAAAUACAAUAUGGUAUCUGAUGUUGUGUAUACAUGAUACUUGAACUUUAGGGCUUCAAAUGCUUCAUCAUCGACAAGAAUGACUCACGUUGGUAGUUCUACCAUCUUAUUAUCUCGGCUCUUGUUUGCUAGCCAUUGGGUUUUAUACUUUGAAGCUUUUGAACAUGUUUAUCUUAAUUUGGCUCUCUUAUAAUAAAUAAAAAAAUCUAAACCUAAACCCACACAUCACAUUAUAGUUGGAGACAGAUAAAAAAACAAAAGUGACAUUGGUCAAGUCACUCCUCUUCCAUCUUUGUGUGUAGACGUUGUUCUUUUAGUUUUUAAUAGUACAUUCAAUUUAACCUGUUAGUUGUUUAACUCGAAGUCUAAAUUGACACAUAAUUUUCAAUCCUGAUUCUUUUUUAUAUAAGACUGAAUUAUGAAGCAAAUAAUUGGUACAUGCUAUGAGUCACAUGGAUUUUAUUACAUUCGGACUACAUUCGGACUUCACAUACAAUUGUUUUCUCUUCUACUACAAAAUUGAAUAAUAAAAAAAAUGAAGUACCAAAACUAUAGUACAUGGUAUCCAAUAAAUGUGUGUACAAUGGUAUUGGUGGGCUAUCGGUCUUGAUUUGAAACUAUGUGUUGGCGGAUAAAUGUGUGUACCUAGUAUUGGUAUUUAUGGGCUAUCGGUCUUGUUCGAAACUAUGCGUUGGCGGAUAAAUGUAUGUACCUAGUAUUGGUAUGGAUGGGCUAUCGGUCUUGAUUCGAAACUAUGCGUUAGCGGAUAAAUCUGUGUACCUAGUAUUGGUAUUGGUGGGCUAUCGGUCUUGAUUCGAAACUGUGUUGACGGAUAAAUUUGUGUACCUAGUAUUGGCAUUGGAGGGCUAUCGGUCUUGAUUCAAAUGCGUUGGCGGAUAAAUGUGUCUACCUAAUAUUGGUAUUUGUGGGCUAUCGGUCUUGAUUCGAAACUAUGUGUUGGCGGAUAAAUGUGUGUACCUAGUAUUGAUAUUGGCGGGCUAUCGGUCUUGAUUCAAAGCUAUGCGUUGGCGGAUAAAUGUGUGUACCUAGGAUUGGUAUUGGUGGGCUAUCGGUCUUGAUUAGAAUGCGUUGGUGGGUAAAUGUGUGUACCUAGUAUUGGUAUUUAUGGGCUACCGGUCUUGUUCGAAACUAUGCGUUUGCGGAUAAAUUUGUGUACCUAGUAUUGGUAUUGGUGGGCUAUCGGUUUUGAUUCGAAACUAUGUGUUGGCGGAUAAAUGUGUGUACCUAGUAUUGGUAUUGGUGGGCUAUCGGUCUUGAUUCUAAGCUAUGCGUUGGCGGAUAAAUGUGUGUACCUAGGAUUGGUAUUGGUGGGCUAUCGGUCUUGAUUAGAAUGCGUUGAUGGGUAAAUGUGUGUGCCUAGUAUUGGUAUUUAUGGGCUAUCGGUCUUGUUCGAAACUAUGUGUUUGCGGAUAAAUUUGUGUACCUAGUAUUGGUAUUGGUGGGCUAUCGGUCUUGAUUUGAAACUAUGUGUUGGCGGAUAAAUGUGUGUACCUAGUAUUGGUAUUGGUGGGCUAUCGGUCUUGAUUCAAAGCUAUGAGUUGGCGGAUAAAUGUGUGUACCUAGGAUUGGUAUUGGUGGGCUAUCAGUCUUGAUUAGAAUGCGUUGGCGGAUAAAUCUGUGUACCUGGUAUUGAUAUCGGUGGGCUAUUAGUCUUGAGUUAAAUCAUGCGUUGGCGGAUAAAUUUGUGUACCUGGUAUUGGUAUUGGUAAUGGUAGGCUAUCGGUCUUGAUUUAAAACUAUGUGUUGGCAGAUAAAGUAUGUACCUGGUAUUGGUAUUGGUAUUGGUGGGCUAUCGGUCCUGAUUAGAAUGCGUUGGUGGGUAAAUGUGUGUACCUAGUAUUUGUAUUUAUGAGCUAUCGGUCUUGUUCGAAACUAUGCGUUUGCGGAUAAAUUUGUGUACCUAGUAUUGGUAUUGGUGGGCUAUCGGUCUUGAUUCGAAACUAUGUGUUGGCGGAUAAAUGUGUGUACCUAGUAUUGGUAUUGGUGGGCUAUCGGUCUUGAUUCAAAGCUAUGCGUUGGCGGAUAAAUGUGUGUACCUAGGAUUGGUAUUGGUGGGCUAUCGGGCUUGAAUAUAAUGCGUUGGCAGAUAAAUCUGUGUACCUGGUAUUGAUAUCGGUGGGCUAUUGGUCUUGAGUUAAAUCAUGCGUUGGCGGAUAAAUUUGUGUACCUGGUAGUGGUAUUGGUAAUGGUGGGCUAUCGGUCUUGAUUUGAAACUAUGUGUUGGCAGAUAAAGUAUGUACCUGGUAUUGGUAUUGGUGGGCUAUCGGUCUUGAUUAGAAACUAUGUGUUGGCGGAUAAAUGUUUGUACCUGGUAUUGGUAUUGGUGGGCUAUUGGUCAUGUUUCAAAACUAUGCGUUGGCGGAUAAAAGUGUGUACCUGGUAUUGGUAUCAGUGGGUUAUCGGUCUUGAUUCAAAACUACGCGUUGGCGGUUAAAUGUGUCUACCGGGUAAUGGUAUUUGUGGGCUAUCUGUCUUGAUUCGAAACUAUGCGUUGGCGGAUAAAUGUGUGUACCUGGUAUUGGUAUUGGUAUUAGUGGGCUAUCAGUCUUUAUUCGAAACUAUGUGUUGGCGGAUGAAAGUGUGUACCUGGUAUUGGUAUUGGUGGGCUAUCGGUCUUGAUUCAAAAUUAUGUGUUGGGGGAUAAAUGUGUGUACCUGGUAUUUGUAUUGGUGGACUAUCGAUCUUGGUUCAAAAGUAUGUGUUUGCGGAGAAAUGUGUGUAACUAGUAUUGGUAUUGGUGGGCUAUCGGUCUUGAUUCGAAACAAUGUGUUGGCGGAUAAAAGUAUGUACCUUAUAUUGGUAUUGGUGGGCUAUCGGUCUUGAUUCGAAACUAUGCGUUGGCGGAUAAAUGUGUCUACCUAGUAUUGGUACUGGUGGGCUAUUGGUCUUGAUUCGAAAAUAUGCGUUGGCGGAUAGAUGUGUGUGCCCGGUAUUGGUACUGGUGGGUUAUCGAUGUUGAUUGGAAACUAUGAGUUUGGCGGAUAAACACGUGUACCUGGUAAUGGUACUGGUGGGCUAUCGGUCUCGAUUCGAAACUAUGUAUUGACGGAUAAAUGUGUGUACCUGGUAUUGGUACUAGUGGGCUAUCGGUCUUGAUACGAAACAAUGCGUCGGGGGACAAUUAUGUGUACCUGGUAUUGGUACUGGUGGACUAUCAGUCACAAUAAUGUUUUCAAAUUUCAUUUUGUUCUAGAAUUUGAAUUGUCAUAGUGUUGAUUAAGCUAUAUGACGGAACCAGUUUAUUUGUUGUGGAUAUUGGUAGGGUCAUCAGAUAAGCCUAAACAUUUGAUCUUUUGCAGUUGAUGGGAUCUGUGGGUGCUUUAAUUUGGCCGGAUAGUGGAUCAGGCUGUUUUGAUUGUGGUUGUAACUGGAUCAGAAAAUCGGUAGUUGACACUCGCCGUGUUGGCGCAGUCAGACAACAUUUUGCAGCAAUUUUUAUCGCUUAGUGGUUUUUGUGCAGCUGUGUACUUGUCAAUAGCUUGGGAUGAUUUUGGUAUUACGGUGGGAAAGCUUGGCAUUUGGAGUGGUUCACCACUAGGAUCGAUAACGGCGAACGGCGAGUAUUUUCUAGGAUAGUCAGCAUAAUUUGGUUCACUUCCAAGGGAUCCUAAAGAAUUAAAGUGAGCUCUUGUACCAAAAGAUGUUGCACGACAGGUACACACAUUUAUCCGCUAUUAUUGUCAGCAUAUUUUGGAACUGCUAUUAUUGUUGAGCUGGUUAAAACUAAAGAUAAAGACAUUGUUUAUUUCCACUUUCCAAUCAAAGGCUUGGAUGGUCAAGAACAUUAAGAAAAUUGUGUUAGUUGUGUUGGUAUUGGGAAUAUCAGUUUUGGCACAUUAUGCCGAUCACCAAUUAAGAGGUUUUGCUGAAUUAAUGUGAUACUGUUUUGCUGGUUUUAGUCUAGGUGGUGUCUGCCUCUAGAAGUUGAGUUUUUUUUAUUCUGUAGUUUGGAUUGCUUCAAUGCCUUUAUGGCUGACUCUAUUUUUGUUUUGUAUUGGCAUAUCUUAUGCCAGGGAUAUAUUUUAGUUAUUAAUAAAUGACUUUGUUGCCUUUUUAAAAUUUUGUUUACUUCAUUGUCACCAUAUUUAUUCUUUUAAUUUGAUGAAAGAAGUGCUUCAAAUAUUUAUCAAUAGCGAUAAAGGUUGCAGGUUAAGCAUUGGUCCUAGAAAUUGGUUAAAUUGUGUGAUUAUGGAAAUAGAGAUUGAUUGAGUUAAAAGAUUCGGCAUAUAAGUGUAAGCGAAGUUGAAUUGACUGAGAAAAGAAGUGGGUGAAAAGGCAUAUAAUGCAGUGGUGGCAACUUUAACUGAGAUUAAUAAAUAUAAUCCUAGUGGGCGAUAUGUAGUCUCUGAAUUAUGAAACUACAAAACUGGAAAAACAACAACUUUGAAGGAAGGAGUACAAUUUUUGUUGAACACAUGGAAGCGCAAGAAAGGAAUGUUGUAAAGGUUUUUAUACAACUUUAUUCCUAUAUGUGUUUCAAAUAAGAGAAAAGUUUAAUACACCCUUAUACGGGUGGAAUAAAUUUUUGAAAAUUCGAAAAUGUCCUCCGGAGAUGCAUCUUCAAACGCACCCAAAAUCAAUUUUCGAUGUGUUUCAAAAAUAAUAUUUUAACUGCUGAAUGGUUGUUUCACAAUAAUAUUUGAUGUUUUGCUGUAUGGUUGGAGCUAUCUUUGCAGGAUGGAUUAACUGUUGACCGACUGUUUCACAAUAAUGUUUUAACAUUUCAUUUUGCUCUAUUCUAUAUAAUCGUUGGUUAGAUUCUGUUGAAGGUAAAAUUGAAAGAGGGGCAAUGAUUAUAAUGAGAGAUGACUUUAGUAGGAAAUACCCAAUUGCAUCCCAAAAUCAAAAAAAAAAGAAAAGAAAAACAAAUAUAGGCCAGAAUUUGAAGGUGCCGCCAUCCCUUUUCAUCGAAGGGGUUUGGCUUUGGUAUCACAGAUUCUGCCUUCUUCUUCUUUCUCCUCUUCGUAUUUCCGUCCCUUCCAAUUGAAUUGGGUUUUUUUCCUACUGUGAUAGAUCUUUCAAAAUUUACACUUGAUAUGAGCCCUGAAACUUUUCAUAUUCUUUACGAAUUCUUGAUUUUUAUCAACUUUGUUUUUUUUUUUUAGAUUUGUUGUCGGUUUUUUGCACUCAGUUACAUUUAGUUCAAUUUUCUGUAGUUUUUUUAACCUAAAUUUUUGGGGUUUUAUAAUAAGUAGAAAACAUUAGUUUGCAUAUGUAUACCGACUUUGAAUCUAUGUUCAAACAGUUCUUUUGGACUGGGAGGAAAAUCAACUCAGUGAAGUGGGAUAUGAUUUAAAUUCCUACAGACAAUUGACUCAAGUGAGGCUUGAGAAUUUUUUUUCAAGGGUUUUAAGAAAGCCCUCUUGGUGGGCUAUCGGUCUUGAUUCGAAACUAUGAGUUGGCGGAUAAAUGUGUAUACCUAUUAUUGGUAUUAGCGGGCUAUCGGUCUUGAUUCGAAACUAUUCGUUGGCGGAUAAAUGUGUGUACCUAGUAUUGGUAUUAGUGGGCUAUCGGUCUUGAUUAGAAACUAUGCGUUGGCGGAUAAAUGUGUAUACCUGGUAAUGAUAUUGGUGGGCUAUCGGUCUUGAUUAGAAACUAUGCGUAGGCGGAUUAAUGUGUGUACCUAGUAUUGUUAUUGGUGGGCUAUCGGUCUUGAUUCGAAACUAUGCGUUGGCGGAUAAAUUUGUGUACCUAGUAUUGGUAUUGGUGGGCUGUCGGUCUUGAUUCGAAACUUUGAAUUGGCGGAUAAAUGUGUGUACCCAGUAGUGGUAUUGGUGGGCUAUCGGUCUUGAUUCGAAAGUAUGCGUUGGCGGAUAAAUGUGUGUACCCAGUAGUGGUAUUGGUGGGCUAUCGGUCUUGAUUCUAAAGUAUGCGUUGGCGGAUAAAUGUGUACCUAGUAUUGGUAUUUGUGGGCUAUUGGUCUUGUUCGAAACUAUGUGUUGGUGGAUAAAUGUGUGUACCUGGCUGCUAUUGGUAUUGGUGGGCUAUCGAUCUCGAUUUGAAACUAUGCCUUUGCGGAUAAAUGUAUGUACCUGGUAUAGGCGGGCUAUUGGUCUUGAUUUGAAACUACUGAGUACGAAGAGAAAUGUUAUGAAGAACAAAAAAAUAGAAGUCAGAAUGUGAAAACCUUGGACGAGAAGUUCACCUAUGCAUACUAUCCGAAGAAAAGAAAACAAGAUUACUUAUACAAGGAGCAUUAGGAUUUGCAUUCCUAUAGACCAGUGACUCAAUUGAGGCUUCAGAAUAAAUUUUUUUGAGGGUUUUUAAGGAAGUCCUCUUGAUUAAAUGGGAGUGGAAGAUCAGAUUUGAGAGGAGACGAGGGAAACAGUUAAUGGUGGUGGAGAGUAAUCCAUAACUUGGACAUUGGUGGCAUGUAUUUGCAGAACAAUAUUCUAUUAGAACAUAGCUAUAUAAAAUACAUAUAUUAGAUUGAUAUAUGAAAAAACCAUAAAUGUCACUCAAAAUUGAAUAAUAAAAAAAAUAAGUACCAAAAUUAUAGUACAUGGUAUCCAAUAAAUGGUAUUGGUGGGCUAUUGGUCUUGAUUCGAAACUAUGCUUUGGCGGAUAAAUGUGUAUACCUAGUAUUGGUAUUAGUGGGCUAUCGGUCUUGAUUCGAAACUAUGCGUUGGCGGAUAAAUGUGUGUACCUAGUAUUGGUAUCGGUGGGCUAUCGGUCUUGAUUCAAAUGGGUUAGCGGAUAAAUGUGCGUACCUGGUAAUGGUAUUGGUGGGCUAUCGGUCUUGAUUCGAAACUAUGCGUUGGUGGAUUAAUUUGUGUACCUAGUAUUGGUAUUGGUGGGCUAUCGGUCUUGAUUUGAAACUAUGCGUAGGCGGAUAAGUGUGUACCUAGUAUUGGUAUUGGUGGGCUAUCGGUCUUGAUUAGAAACUGUGCGUUGGCGGAUAAGUGUGUACCCAGUAGUGGUAUUGGUGGGCUAUCGGUCUUGAUUCUAAAGUAUGCGUUGGUGGAUAAAUGUGUACCUUGUAUUGAUAUUUGUGGGCUAUCGGUCUUGUUCGAAACUAUGCGUUGGUGGAUAAAUGUGUGUACUUGGUAUUGGUGGGUUAUCAGUCUCGAUUUGAAACUAUGCUUUGGCGGAUAAAUGUGUGUACCUAUUAUAGGUGGGCUAUUGGUCUUGAUUCGAAACUACUGAGUACGAAGAGAAAUGUUAUGAAGAACAAAAAAUGGAAGUUAGAGUGUGAAAACCUCGGACUAGAGGUUCACCUAUCCAUACUGUCCGAAGAAAAGAAAACAAGAUUAUUUAUUGAAGGAGCUUCUGCAACAUGCUUCUGGGGUGGGUCAGAGUAUUUCACAAAAGCAAAAUCCAAGAGAAAAGGCAACUCAUUUGGCUUUAGUGAAGUAUUUAGAAAAGGAUCUUAUGAAUGUAGAUGUAGAUGCUCCAAAGGAACCAGUUGAUGAUGAUAAAAGUGACACUCCUAUUGAUUCUGAUGAGCAGUUUGUGUGGCCUUGGAUGGGAAUAAUAGUUAAUAUUCCAACUAGCAAAAUUGAAGGGCGCAAAGUUGGUGCAAGUGGUUCCAAGAUUAGAGAUGAGUAUAGAAGUAGGGGUUUCAAUCCAGGUUGAGUAAAUCCUUUAUGGAACUACAAAGGUCACUCUGGAACUGCUCUUGUGGAAUUCAAUAAAAACUGGCCUGACUUAGAUAAUGCACUUGCAUUUGAAAAAUUGUAUGCGUUAGAACAUCAUGGAGAUAAACUCGGAGGCAAGAUAAAAUCGUGUCCAAUUUGACCAACAUUAUUCAAGUGAAAAACAAGCACUUAACUGAGAUUGAAGCAAGAUGCACCGAGACUUCGGCGAAAAUGAAUUCUGCCAUGACAAAUAAAUUUACUCAUUCAAUCUUAUAAUGAAGGUAGAUAGUAUAUGUUGUGGUUGUGGGUGUUUAGUUUUCAUGUUUCUGUUUUGCGACUGGUGCUUUGGUUACACAUACAACGGCCACUGUGGUGGUGCCAAAUAUUGCUAGAAUCAUUGCAAUGAUUGCACCCUAAAAUAUGGCAUAGUUUAAUUGAUUUCGGAUGAAUAUUAUGCUUGAACUUUGUUUUAAAAUUUUUAGAGAUGAAGAAAGUACAAGCAAGUGCUAAGGAUCACUUCCAAAGGAUUAUUAAUGAUCACGAAAAGCUUAAAUCGCAACUGGAAUCUCAUAAAAGUGAGCUUUAAUUGCGGAGAAUUGCUCUGGAAAAACGUGAAGCACAUAAUGAAAGUGAAAGAAAAAAGUUGACAUUGAGCCAUUCCUUCAUUCCUUGAAGCUAUGAAGCAAAGAUAUAAUGAGGAGGAAGCCGAAGACAAAGCUACAAAACUAUGUUCAUUGUGGGAAAAGUUACUAAAAGACCCAGAUUGGCAUCCGUUCAAAGUUGUCAUGAUCGACGGCAAAGAAAGAGCAUGUUUUGAUUCAGGAAUUUAUUAAAGAAGAUGAUGAAAAGCUGAAUGGAAUGAGAAAAGAAAUGGGUGAAAAGGCAUAUAUGUGUGUGUACCUAGUAUUGGUAUUGGUGUGCUAUCAGUCUUUGAUUUGAAACUAUGCGUUGGCGGAUAAUUGUGUGUACCUGGUAUUGGUAUUGGUGGGCUAUCGGUCUUGAUUCGAAACUAUGCGUUGGCGGAUAAAUGUGUGUACCUGGUAUUGGUACUGGUGGGCUAUUGGUCUUGAUUCGAAAAUAUGCGUUGGCGGAUAAAUGUGUGUGCCCGGUAUUGGUACUGGUGGGUUAUCGACGUUGAUUCGAAACUAUGCGUUUGGCGGAUAAAUGUGUGUACCUGGUACUGGUACUGGUGGGCUAUCGGUCUCGAUUCGAAACUAUGCGUUGACGGAUAAAUAUGUGUACCUGGUAUUGGUACUAGUGGGCUAUCGGUCUUGAUACGAAACAAUGCGUUGGCGGACAAUUAUGUGUACCUGGUAUUGGUACUGGUGGACUAUCAGUCACAAUAAUGUUUUCAAAUUUCAUUUUGUUCUAGAAUUUGGAUUGUCAUAGUGUUGAUUCAGCUAUAUGAUGGAACCCGUUUGUUUGGUGUGGAUAUUGGUAGAGUCAUCAGAUAAGCCUAAACAUUUGAUCAUUUGCAGUUGAUGGGAUCUGUGGGUGCUUUAAUUUGGCCGGAUAGUGGAUCAGGCUGUUUUGAUUGUGGUUGUAACUGGAUCAGAAAAUCGGUAGUUGACGCUCGCCGUGGUAGCGCAGCCAGACAGUAUUUCGCAGCAAUUUUAAUCGCGUGUGGUACUGGUGGUUUAAGCUAACUAGAGCAGUUUUGCUUUGAAGCAUAGCUGUCAUGCGCAGGCUCGCAUAGUGGUUUUUGUGCAGCUGUGUACUUGUCAAUAGCUAGGGAUGAUUUUGGUGUUACAGUGGGAAAGCUUGGCAUUUGGAGUGGUUCACCGCUAGGAUCGAUAACGGCGAAAGGUGAGUAUUUUCUAGGAUAAUCAGCAUAAUUUGGUUCACUUCCAAGGGAUCCUAAAGAAUUAAAGUGAGCUCUUGUACCAAUAGAUGUUGCACGGCAGGGUGUUUUCGUGUAAUUAUCAAUCGGUGCAGCAAGGUGGUGAAAGUCACGGAUCAUGUAGGUUUUAUCCGGAAAUUUGGUUACUGUAUCGUGGGUGUUCGUCAAUUUGAGGCGCCGAUCUGGAACGUUUACCCGGUCAGAAGUGAAAAGGAAAUUGAUUCAGAUUUUAAUAAGUGUCGGUGACAAUGUCCUGCAGAUUUCAAUAGUUCAGAGCAUUCAUAUUUUGGUGGCGUAGUAGCGGUGUUCCUGCUAUCCUUUAGUUAAUAGCUAGUGAUGUUCAGGGUACUGUGUUGGCUGCUUGUCAAGUUUUGAAGAUUGCAAAUGACAGCGGCACCAGAAUUAUAUGAUUCUUCUCAUCUUUUCAGCAGACUGUUUCGGAAUUUUAGAGUUCGCUUUCAGUUUAUACCAGCUCUGAACAUUUAAUCAUUGCGUAGUGGCCGCAAAUUGGUGUGGUUGAUUUCAGCUAUGAUCAUGUUGUUAUUCUGAAUAUUAGCUUGUGAAUGAUUGUGUUGAAACAGUGGAUUCCUUAUCCAUCACACUGGAAUUUCAUUAUUUUCCCAAGUAUACUCGCCUCAAUUAGACUCAACUCCUCCAAGAUGAGUUCAUGUUGCACAUCGGAUACUUCUGUUUUUGUACUAGGUUAGCUAACUUCUCAUAUUGUGGUACUUGCUCACUUGUUCUUAAUCUUCAUUAGUAUAUAUGAGGAUUAGAGUAUUCAAUAUUUAUUUUGCAGAGUUUGUGAGAAUACUAAGGAAAGUUAGUAUUGGAACAUAAUCACCAUAUAAUGCUCAAGUUUUUGAAAAUCAAGACAAAAUAAAGCAAUACACUUUUGUUUCUAAUACUGGUUUCUCUAUGAGUGUUCGUUCAAUAAACAAUUUUCAAUAUGGAGAGGAACAUAUUAUAAUAAUGUCUAUUGUGAGAUCAAAUUUUAAUGAAAAAGUGAGUUUUCUUUCAAAUAGGCAAAGAACAAAUAUCAUUUGAUUUUAGAUCUGGGAACUAGAGCCAGGAACUUAUAUAUGUGUAGCUAUUUAUUUAUUUCAAACAUGUUAUUUUGAUGUUAUUUUCUUUCGAAUGACUAGUGCGCCAGGAACUCACCUUUUAUAGCUAUUUAUUUAUUUCAAACAUGGAGUUUUACCGUCUUACACGAUUGGAUUGAUGUUAACUAGGAAAUUGUCUUGAGUUUUGGAGGUGUUUAUUGAUGAGUGAAGCCGAAGAGUUUUACCGUCUUAACAGAUUUAUCUUGAUUGUUGACAAUAUAACCUUUGGUGUGAUCUAGUUUUGGAAAGAGGAGCUUUCUGCUGGGUUGAAAUUAUGGUCUGUAUUAGUUUAUCAGUUGGUUUGCAGCAGUUUUUUUAUGGCCUGUACUAUUUUUUGAGUUGGUCUUUAUGACGUAGUGAAUGCUUAAACCCUUUUAUAUACCCAUGCUUUGUAACAUGGUGUACUAACAUUUUGUACUUGUUACACUAGCAUCUCUCAUGCUAGUUAAAGUUUUAAUAUGAAUAUCUUUUUGCCUUUUUAAAAAAAAAAGAGGUUUCUUAGACAAAUAUGCAAGUGGACAAAUAUUCUUAAUUAGUAUCUUAUAGGAUAAUCCAUUUAGUCUUUUCUAUUGGUUUGAUUAUCACUAACAACAUGCUAUAAUAUUUGAAAAGAAGACGAAAUGCUAUAAUAGACAAAAAGACAAAAUUUAUAGUCUAGUGAUAUACUGAUAUUUAACACCUUUAUGAUGUUUUAUGAUUAAGAAAUUAGAUAAUGUCUACAUAAUUUAUGUCUUUUUUGGACUUCAAAAGAAUUAUGAGUUAGUUCGGAGCCAUAUCCUUUUUUGAGCUUGAGAUACCACCAGCCUGACAGGUAUUAGUCAGGUAUUAUGCUUUUGCUUUUGGUUUUAGACGUCGUGGAGAUGGUUAAGAAAGGUGAAGUGUAGAUUGUCCUAAGUGCAUUUACUGCAAGAAAUUUGGUCAUAUUGAUUAUAAGCAUUAUUCUUUUAUUGGCUUCAUAGAAGCACUAGUAAAUUUGACUUUGCCUACUGAUAAUGGAAGAAAAAAUGAAGGUAAAAUUGGUUAAGAUUCAAUGAAGGUCCAUUUCCAACUAUUCUGAAUUUUCGGUUAUUCAGAACCAUGGUCUCGCAGUUGGUGAAGCAUGAGCGUAUCGAAACUACUGUUGCCAAGGCUAAGGAGGUUAGAAGGCUGGCAGAUAAUAUGGUACAGCUUGGAAAAGAGGUUAGUGCUUGUAAAAUUUGAGCAAUUUAAGCAAUUUUGAGAAGUUCAUGUGAGGUUAAGUUCAUCUUUUUACAAUAAAUUAGUAUCUUUAGUUUGAAAUCGAUUGAAUUGAACCCAUAUCUUUGUUUUUUGCAAUUAUUGAAGAGCUGGUAUGGUUGCAAUUUGCAAGGUUAUUAACUAGUGGUAUACUUAUGUGUAAUGAGGUUUAUGUACUCUUUUGAUAGACAUCACUUACAGUAACUCUUUAUCUCUCGUUCUUUUAUUAAUCAACAAACGGUAUUUUAUCAAACUGCUUUUAGUUUGUAUGGUAAGGGAAGUUCAAAAUUCGGAUCAGAUAUGGAAUAUACACUUAGACAUGUGUAGUCUUUAGUUAUCUUCAGCCUGCUUUUAAUACUGAGUGAUGCCAAUGUAUUUCAGUUGUAUGGAUGUUUCAAUUUUUAAGCUUAGAAACACCUCAUGCGAAAGGGCAAAAAGGACGCUCUCUUUUGCUUUUGUCACCACUAUUGAGGUAGACAAUUUAUUUCAAUUUUCAAGGAAUAGACUUUUCUUCAUCUAUCACUCGUGCCAAGUUUGAAGAAAUCAAUGCAGACCUUUUUAAAGAGUAUGAAAAUAGUAAAGAGUUGUCUUGUGGAUUCUUAGAGGCUCAGCUCUAGGCAAAAAUAAUUUUUUAAGGAACAAAACAAACCUCUGGUUACCUUUAGGAAGUCUACUUUGUGAAUGAAUUAUUGCUAUAAUGCAUCAAGUGAGAACUGUCCCCCUCAACGUGGUCUGCAGCAAUGCACCAGGCAUGCACUUUUGUGGCAUAAGUUUCCCUUCAAGUCAGUUCAAGAUCAAGGCAGUCUCAGCCAGAAAUAAGUGCCCAUCCAAAGAGCUCAUGGCAGAGGCUAUAUGGAACCAUUGCGUAGAAUCAGCAUCAUAACUUCACCUAAGCUUAAGUCGAAUGUUAUCUUUUUUUGGUUUUUCACCACCGGUAUAAUCCGAUCAGCCUCCUUCCAAUCGAAUUUACGGGGGAUCGAACCGUAGUCCUCCCUACCAAAUCUAGUACCAAUCACCACUGGACUAACUAACUAUUGAUUAUGAUGGACUAAUUUAUUACAACUCUUUACAAAGUGAUUUUUACAAUAUUAUAAAUUUAUGUCUAAAAGUUAAAAAGGUUUUUCUUUAAAGAAAAAUUAAAAUAAAAGAUUUUAUUUCAAAUCUUUUAUUUGUUCAACUUCCAAAUUGCAACGGUAACUGUGUUUAGUAUAAUUAUUUCAAGUGAUCCUUCCAACUUCCACCACUUUCAAGUAUACAAGGUAUAUCAACCGUAGCAUCCUUCACGUUCCAUUAAAUAGUUAGAAUCUUUUUCACACAUUUCACAUAUCCAAGCGGAAGUGCUAUCACCACCAUCACCAAACAAGAAAAAAAAAAACUAACGAAAGAGUAAACAGUUGGAAUCGUGCAACCUUAAUCCACUCUCAUUUCGCUUUCUUCACAGAUUUUACGUAAGCUAAAUUCAAACCCAUUUCGUUUAAUUCUCUUUUACGCUUCACAGCUUACUGCGUUCUGCUCUAAAACCCUAGUCUAUAAUGGCGACAGAACAGGUCCCCUACUCCUCAAAGUCAAUUAAGGUAAGUCUUCCUCUUUUCAAUUUCAAUUACUAUGAUAUUUAUAUCACUUCUAUUUUAAUUCACUGAGUUGCAAAUGAUAUUCUUCAAUUAGUACCUACAUGAUUUGUUUCUGUCUUGUUUUGAAUUAAAGCUCACAAUAUAAUUCCACUUAAUUUUGCUAUCUUGUUAUCUUUCUUUUCUAGGAUCAAAAAGACAAAUCACAAGAUGUUAAGCUUGCAACAAGCUUAACAACACUUUCGAGCCUUAAAUUGACAAGUGAAAAGAAAAAGUUAAUGGAAAAUUCCAUUUUUUCUACUUUGUUGAAAGUCAAAGAUGGAAAAGAGAGUUCUGCAACUCUCAUAUCAAGUUUUUGCAAAUUAUAUGAACAUAAAAAUCGAAGGUUUGUCUUAAACAAUGAGACUUCCUUCACUUUUUGUGUC